CCAAUAGCGUAUAUUAAAGUUGUUGCAGUUAAAAAGCUCGUAGUUGGAUUUCGGGAUCAAUAUGUCGGUCGUGCCUCGGUACGUACUGGCGUAAUUGGUUUCUCCCUUCUGAAGAACCUCGAUGUCAUUAAUUUGGUGUCGUGGGGAAUCAGGACUGUUACUUUGAAAAAAUUAGAGUGUUUAAAGCAGGCUCGCGCUUGAAUACAUUAGCAUGGAAUAAUGAAAUAGGACGUUUGAUUCUAUUUUGUUGGUUUCUAGGAUCGACGUAAUGAUUAAUAGGGAUAGUUGGGGGCAUUAGUAUUCAAUUGUCAGAGGUGAAAUUCUUGGAUUUAUUGAAGACUAACUACUGCGAAAGCAUUUGCCAAGGAUGUUUUCAUUAAUCAAGAACGAAAGUUAGGGGAUCGAAGACGAUCAGAUACCGUCGUAGUCUUAACCAUAAACUAUGCCGACUAGGGAUCGGAUGAUGUUAAUUUUUUAAUGACUCAUUCGGCGCCUUACG
This 499-nucleotide ribosomal RNA is filed under the name uncultured Glomeromycotina. RNAcentral describes it as "partial small subunit ribosomal RNA". It matches the Rfam family "Eukaryotic small subunit ribosomal RNA", at positions 591 to 1092 of the family's 1831-position model. Lineage: Eukaryota; Fungi; Glomeromycota. The record is from RNAcentral.